AUACGCCUGGAGGGGAAAGGUGGGGACCUUCGGGCCUACCGCGAUUGGAUGCACCCAUGUGGGAUUAGCUAGUUGGUGAGGUAGCGGCCCACCUAGGCGACGAUCCCUAGCUGGUCUGAGAGGAUGACCAGCCACACUGGAACUGAGACACGGUCCAGACUCCUACGGGAGGCAGCAGUGGGGAAUAUUGCACAAUGGGCGCAAGCCUGAUGCAGCCAUGCCGCGUGUAUGAAGAAGGCCUUCGGGUUGUAAAGUACUUUCAGCGGGGAGGAAGGGAGUAAGGUUAAUAACCUUAUUCAUUGACGUUACCCGCAGAAGAAGCACCGGCUAACUCCGUG
RNAcentral lists this ribosomal RNA (338 nucleotides) under uncultured bacterium. Its description in RNAcentral is "bacterial SSU rRNA". It matches the Rfam family "Bacterial small subunit ribosomal RNA", at positions 188 to 507 of the family's 1533-position model. The record is from RNAcentral.